CCUACGGGAGGCAGCAGUGGGGAAUAUUGCACAAUGGGGGGAACCCUGAUGCAGCGACGCCGCGUGGGCGAUGGAGUGCUUCGGCAUGUAAAGCCCUAUCAGCAGGGAAGAAAAUGACGGUACCUGACUAAGAAGCACCGGCUAAAUACGUGACAGCAGCCGAGGUAAUACGUAUGGGGCAAGCGUUAACCGGAUUUACUGGGGGUAAAGGGAGCGAAGGGGGGCUGGAAAGCCUGAUGUGAAAUACCGGGGCCCAACCCCGGGGCUGCAGUGGGAACUGCGAGGCUGGAGUGCCGGAGAGGCAGGCGGAAUUCCUAGUGUAGCGGUGAAAUGCGUAGAUAUUAGGCGGAACACCAGUGGCGAAGGCGGCCUGCUGGCCGGUGACUGACGCUGAGGCUCGAAAGCGUGGGGAGCAAACAGGAUUAGAUACCCUAGUAGUC
Molecule: ribosomal RNA, 440 nt
Filed under: uncultured bacterium
Lineage: Bacteria
Description: partial 16S ribosomal RNA
Rfam family: Bacterial small subunit ribosomal RNA
Source: RNAcentral